RNAcentral lists this ribosomal RNA (441 nucleotides) under Aegla rostrata. Its description in RNAcentral is "partial 16S ribosomal RNA". The stretch from base 313 to 441 matches the Rfam family "Bacterial large subunit ribosomal RNA", at positions 2473 to 2601 of the family's 2925-position model. The record is from RNAcentral. Lineage: Eukaryota; Metazoa; Arthropoda; Malacostraca; Decapoda; Aeglidae.
GCAUAAUCAUUUGUCUUUUAAUUGAAGACUUGUAUGAACGGUUGAACGAGAAAAUAACUGUCUCUUUAAAAAAUCUUGAAUUUUACUUUUAAGUGAAAAGGCUUAAAUAAUUUUAAGGGACGAUAAGACCCUAUAAAUCUUCAUAUUAUUUUUCUUUAUCUUUCAAAUUAUAUAUUAAAAGAAAUAAAAGAAAAAAAUAUUGUAUUGGGGAGAUAAAAAUAUAAUUUUUAACUGUUUUAAAUGUAAAACAAUAAUUUUUGAUUUAUUAAAAUUUGAUCCUUUUUAAAGAUUUUAAGAUUAAGUUACUUUAGGGAUAACAGCGUAAUUUUUUUUGAGAGUUCUUAUCGAAAAAAAAGUUUGCGACCUCGAUGUUGAAUUAAAAUAUCCUUAUAAGUGCAGAAGCUAUAAAGGAAAGUCUGUUCGACUUUUAAAAUUUUACAU